AGGAAAUGCAGAGACGGAGCAGUCUAGAAGCUAAGAGGACCAUAAUCUGCUAUUCAGGUAUUUCCAGCCUGUACCUGGAGAAGAGGCAUGCGGGGCACUUACAGGGAUGGAACUCGUGUCUGCUGCUUCCUUCUUUUAGAAGCCCUCCUGAUGUGCUAACUACAGGUGACUCGACCUGGACCUGCCGGGAGGAAGUCAGGACAACUCUAUCAACAACAAUGACGGUCCUGGGCUGUGCCUUGAAGCUGACUUAUGUGUCUCUGAGGGCAGAGGUCACACGUCACCCGACAUGUUCCCAGUACCUCUCUGUUGCUAGAAGCCACCAGCAUCCUGAGACAGGGAAGGUGUUCAGAGAAGAGCCAGCUGGUUUUGACUUUAUCCCUGCAGCAGGCAACGAGUGUGCAUCGUCAGGCCCCAGGCGU
Long non-coding RNA from Cervus elaphus (red deer), 422 nucleotides. RefSeq lists it as uncharacterized. Lineage: Eukaryota; Metazoa; Chordata; Mammalia; Artiodactyla; Cervidae. The transcript has 3 exons. The record is from RefSeq and is a predicted model, not a curated record.